Molecule: ribosomal RNA, 481 nt
Filed under: uncultured bacterium
Lineage: Bacteria
Description: partial 16S ribosomal RNA
Rfam family: Bacterial small subunit ribosomal RNA
Source: RNAcentral
GACGAACGCUGGCGGCGUGCCUAACACAUGCAAGUCGAACGGAGUAAAGCCCUUCGGGACUUUACUUAGUGGCGAACGGGUGAGUAACGCGUGAGGAACCUGCCUUUCAGUGGGGGACAACAGUUGGAAACGACUGCUAAUACCGCAUGACGCUUCUUGGGGGCAUCCCUGGGAAGUCAAAGAUUUAUUGCUGAAAGAUGGCCUCGCGUCUGAUUAGCUAGUUGGCGGGGUAACGGCCCACCAAGGCGACGAUCAGUAGCCGGUCUGAGAGGAUGAACGGCCACAUUGGGACUGAGAUACGGCCCAGACUCCUACGGGAGGCAGCAGUGGGGAAUAUUGGGCAAUGGGGGAAACCCUGACCCAGCAACGCCGCGUGAAGGAAGAAGGCCUUCGGGUUGUAAACUUCUUUUAGCAGGGACGAAGGACGUGACGGUACCUGCAGAAAAAGCAACGGCUAACUACGUGCCAGCCGCCGCGGUAA